This 450-nucleotide ribosomal RNA is filed under the name uncultured bacterium. Its description in RNAcentral is "bacterial SSU rRNA". It matches the Rfam family "Bacterial small subunit ribosomal RNA", at positions 335 to 800 of the family's 1533-position model. The record is from RNAcentral.
ACUCCUACGGGAGGCAGCAGUGGGAAUCUUGGACAAUGGGGGCACCGUAGCAUCCAGCCAUGCCGCGUGAGUGAUGAAGGCCCUAGGGUCGUAAAGCUCUUUCGCCUGUGAAGAUAAUGACUGUAGCAGGUAAAGAAACCCGCUACAUCCGUGCCAGCAGCCGCGGUAAUACGGAGGGGGUUAGCGUUGUUCGGAAUUACUGGGCGUAAAGCGCGCGUAGGCGGACUGGAAAGUUGGGGUGGAAAUACCACGGCUCAAGCCCUGAACCUGGCCUCCAAACCUCAAUCAGUCUAGAGUUCGAGAGAGGUGAGUGGAAUUCCGAGUGUAGAGGUGAAAUUCGUAGAUAUUCGGAGGAACACCAGUGGCGAAGGCGGCUCACUGGCUCGAUACUGACGCUGAGGUGCGAAAGUGUGGGGAGCAAACAGGAUUAGAUACCCUGGUAGGCUCUGC